UGGGUAACCUGCCUCAAAGAGGGGAAUAGCCUCCCGAAAGGGAGAUUAAUACCGCAUGAUAUGUUUUGGUCACAUGGCCUUAACAUCAAAGGAUUUUCUUCGGAAAAUUCACUUUGAGAUGGACCCGCGGCGCAUUAGCUAGUUGGUGAGGUAACGGCUCACCAAGGCGACGAUGCGUAGCCGACCUGAGAGGGUGAUCCGGCCACAUUGGAACUGAGACACGGUCCAGACCUCGUACGGGAG
RNAcentral lists this ribosomal RNA (243 nucleotides) under uncultured bacterium. RNAcentral's name for it is "partial 16S ribosomal RNA". It matches the Rfam family "Bacterial small subunit ribosomal RNA", at positions 118 to 347 of the family's 1533-position model. The record is from RNAcentral.